RNAcentral lists this ribosomal RNA (326 nucleotides) under Henicops washpoolensis. Its description in RNAcentral is "partial 16S ribosomal RNA". Lineage: Eukaryota; Metazoa; Arthropoda; Chilopoda; Lithobiomorpha; Henicopidae. The record is from RNAcentral.
UUGAAUGGCCGCGGUAUUUUGACCGUGCGAAGGUAGCAUAAUCAUUAGUCUAUUAAUUAUAGACUGGUAUGAAAGGCUAAAUGGUAAAAAGCUGUCUUUUUUAAUAACAUGAAUUUUAGAUUUUUGUGAAGACGCAAAGAUUGAAAUAAGGGACGAGAAGACCCUAUUAAGCUUGACAUGUAAAUUUUAGAUAAGAAAAUUAAAAGGAAAUGUUAUGUUGGGGCGACAAUAGAUGAUAACAUUUAUUAAAAUAAAAUAAUUUAAUUAUAUUGUUUAUGAUCCAAAAGAUUUGAGUAUAAGAAUAAGUUACUAUAGGGAUAACAGCG